Molecule: ribosomal RNA, 460 nt
Filed under: uncultured bacterium
Lineage: Bacteria
Description: partial 16S ribosomal RNA
Rfam family: Bacterial small subunit ribosomal RNA
Source: RNAcentral
CCUACGGGCGGCAGCAGUGAGGAAUAUUGGUCAAUGGACGAGAGCCUGAACCAGCCAAGUAGCGUGAAGGAUGAAUGCCCUAUGGGUUGUAAACUUCUUUUAUAAGGGAAUAAAACGCGGCACGUGUGCCUUUUUGCAUGUACUUUAUGAAUAAGGAUCGGCUAACUCCGUGCCAGCAGCCGCGGUAAUAUGGAGGAUCCGAGCGUUAUCCGGAUUUAUUGGGUUUAAAGGGAGCGUAGAUGGGUUGUUAAGUCAGUUGUGAAAGUUUGGGGCUCAACCGUAGAAGUGCAAUUGAUACUGGCAGGCUUGAGUACAGGUGAGGUAGGCGGAAUUCGUGGUGUAGCGGUGAAAUGCUUAGAUAUCACGAAGAACCCCGAUUGCGAAGGCAGCUUACUAAACUGAGACUGACAUUGAUGCUCGAAAGUGUGGGUAUCAAACAGGAUUAGAUACCCUGGUAGUC